Molecule: long non-coding RNA, 733 nt
Organism: Labrus mixtus (cuckoo wrasse)
Lineage: Eukaryota; Metazoa; Chordata; Actinopteri; Labriformes; Labridae
Exons: 3
Source: RefSeq, a predicted model, not a curated record
GGUAUCAUGGAAACACUAGCGUUAGCCAAUAUGGUGCCUAAAAAUAGAACCUGACUCUGAAUAGAUGACUGCUUUAAUUUCACAAGCACUCACGCCUUCUUUUUUUUAUUGUAGUUUUUUUUUUUGUCAGCAAAUGUAUUCCGGUUGAUUUGAUUUCAAUCUAAUAUUUUUGGAUGUCUGAGAACUGACUUGCAGGACGUGACGUGUCAGGAAGUAAGUUCUCAGACAGAUUCAAAACAAUGAGUGCUGUUGGAUCAGGCAGGCAUCAACAUGGCCAACUAUUGCAGGGUGGGUGGGUGGAGGUCCUGAUGGAAGUGGUCACCCCUCAGACUGGCAGGGGAGACGGCGUAGUGAGACACAUAAUGUGCGGAAAUGCAUUGCAUUGUGAAGGGCAUGUUGAAAGGGCAACUUCAUUUAAUCUCUCACAGACAAAACAGCACAAAAUAUGAACCAGCGUUGAAGCCUCAACAGGCGUCCAUGUGUAUGUCCGCACAGCCUCGUCGAUGUAUCUCUGUUAAAAAAAAAAGUCUGUUUUGUAACCCUGUCACAUCCUCAGCGCACACCUCUUACCGGAACUGGAGGAAAACAACAGAUCCUGAACAUACUGAAGAGAGAAGAGGAGAGAUGCAGCGUGAGAAGGCAUUCGGUUCUGUAAACUAGAGAAAAAUGUGAAAAUAAAUCAUUUAAUGAAACAUAAUAUUGAAUAAACCAGUUGAUCGUAAUGAUGAUGUUU